UGAAACCUCAUCUCUACUAAAAAAAUACAAAAAUUAGCCGGGCGUGGUGGUGGGCGCCUGUAAUCCCAGCUACUCGGGUGAGACAGGAGAACUGCUUGCACCUGGGAGGUGGAGGUUGCAGUGAGCCGAGAUCACUGCACUCCAGCCUGUGUGACAAGAGCAAAACUCCAUCCAAAAAAAAAAAAAAAAAAGAUAUAUUCUUUGGAUACAGAAUUCUAGGUUGGCAAGUGUUUUUUGUUUUUUGUUUUUUUGCACUUACAAAGAUUGUCAUUACAAUGUUUUCAGCCUGCAUUGUUUCUUUUCUUUAUUUCAAUAGUUUUGGGGGAACAGGUGAUUUUUGGUUAUAUGGAUAAGUUCUUCAGUGGUUAUUUCUGAGAUUUUGGUGCACCUGUCACCGAGAAGUAUACACGUUACCCAAUGUGUAGUCUUUUAUCCUUCACCCCCGCAGAGGCUGGAAGUUUAAAGGUAGCAGAGGCUGGCUUAUGAGGAAAGAAGCCAUCUUUAUAACAUAAAAGUACAAGGUGAAGCAGCAAGUGCUGAUGUAGAAGCUGCAACAAGUUAUUCAGAAGAUCUAUUACAGCUAACACACAGCAUUGUAUGUUAUGAAUAUGGUUGAUGAAGACGGUUAUACUAAACAAAAGUUUUCAAAUUAAAUCCAGUAGCCUUAUAUUGGAAGAAAAUGUCAUCUAGGACUUCUCUAGCUGUUAAGGAGAAGUUAAUCCUGGCUUCAAAGCUUCAAAACACAGGCUGACUCUCUUGUUAGAGGUUAAUGGAGCUGGUUACCUUAAAUUAAAGCCAAUACUCAUUUACCAUUCUGAAAAUCCUUGGGCUCUUAAGAAUAAUGCUAAAUUGACUCUGACUGUGCUCUACAAAUGGAACAACAAAACUUGCAUAACAGCACAUCUGUUUACAGCAUGGUUUGCUGAAUAUUUUAAGCCCACUGUUGAGACCUACUGCUCAGAAAAAAAGAUUGCUUUCAAAAUAUUACUGCUCAUUGACAAUACACCUGGUCACCCAAGAGUUCUGAUAGAAAUGCUCAAGGGGAUUAAUGCUGUUUUUACACCUGCUGACACAAGAUUCAUUCUGCCACCCAUAAAUCAAGGAGUAAUUUCAACUUUCAAGUCUUAUUAUUGAAGAAAUACAUUUCAUAGGGCUAUUGCUGCCAAAACAGUGAUUCCUCUGAUGAAUCUGGGCAAAAUAAGUGGGAAACCUUUUGGAAAGGAUUCAUCAUUCUAGAUGUCAUUAAGAACAUUUGUGAUUCAUGGGAGGAGGUCAAAGUAUCAACAUUAACAGAAGUUUGGAAGAAGCUGAUUCCAACUGUGAAUGGUUUAAGACUUCAGUAGAGAAAGUAACUGCAGAUGU
RNAcentral lists this long non-coding RNA (1362 nucleotides) under Pan troglodytes (chimpanzee). Its description in RNAcentral is "long non-coding RNA NONPTRT000337". Lineage: Eukaryota; Metazoa; Chordata; Mammalia; Primates; Hominidae. The record is from RNAcentral.